UCUCUAGUGGCGCACGGGUGAGUAACACGUGAGUACCUGCCCCCAAGAGUGGGAUAGCCCCGGGAAACUGGGAUUAAUACCGCAUAAAGCAAUAAAGCAGCGAUGCGCUUGGGGAUGGGCUCGCGUCCUAUUAGUUAGUUGGUGAGGUAACGGCUCACCAAGGCGAUGACGGGUAGCCGGUCUGAGAGGAUGUCCGGCCACACUGGAACUGAGACACGGUCCAGACACCUACGGGUGGCAGCAGUCGAGAAUCAUUCACAAUGGGGGAAACCCUGAUGGUGCGACGCCGCGUGGGGGAUAAGGUCUUCGGAUUGUAAACCCCUGUCAUGUGGGACAUUAAAAAGAUAGUACCACAAGAGGAAGAGACGGCUAACUCUGUGCCAGCAGCCGCGAUAAUACAGAGGUCUCAAGCGUUGUUCGGAAUCACUGGGCGUAAAGCGUGCGUAGGCGGUUUCGUAAGUCGUGUGUGAAAGGCGGGGGCUCAACCCCCGGACUGCACAUGAUACUGCGAGACUAGAGUAAUGGAGGGGGAACCGGAAUUCUCGGUGUAGCAGUGAAAUGCGUAGAUAUCGAGAGGAA
Molecule: ribosomal RNA, 579 nt
Filed under: uncultured bacterium
Lineage: Bacteria
Description: bacterial SSU rRNA
Rfam family: Bacterial small subunit ribosomal RNA
Source: RNAcentral